Molecule: microRNA precursor, 205 nt
Organism: Oryza rufipogon (brownbeard rice)
Lineage: Eukaryota; Viridiplantae; Streptophyta; Magnoliopsida; Poales; Poaceae
Rfam family: MIR812 microRNA precursor family
Source: Rfam
AAUGUUUGACACCGUUGACUUUUUAGCACAUGUUUGACCGUUCGUCUUAUUCAAAAAAUUUAAGUAAUUAUUAAUUAUUUUCUUAUCAUUUGAUUCAUUGUUAAAUAUAUUUUUAUGUAGGCAUAUAAUUUUACAUAUUUCACAAAAUUUUUUGAAUAAGACGAACGGUCAAACAUGUGCUAAAAAGUCAACGGCGUCAAACAUU